RNAcentral lists this ribosomal RNA (1173 nucleotides) under Triticum aestivum (bread wheat). RNAcentral describes it as "partial small subunit ribosomal RNA". The record is from RNAcentral. Lineage: Eukaryota; Viridiplantae; Streptophyta; Magnoliopsida; Poales; Poaceae.
AUGCAAAUCAGGGCGAAGAGAACCUGCUAUGCCGCUGCCUCAUCUGAGGCACGAGGAUGGGCCGAGCUCCCGGACGACUUGCUCCGACCCAUCGUUGCUCUCCUCAGCUCGUCGUUCCGCGACCUCCUCGCCUUUGGUUCCACCUGUCAUCCCUGGCGUGAUUUCUCAGCGCACACGUCCUCUUUGUACCCUCUCCUCCUCCACCCGAGUACCGACCGCCAACAGUAUCCCUGGUAUGACUAUGACUACUGGACCCUUUUCCACGAAUGCACGUGGAGAUUGGCUGAUCCUGCUGCCGCCUCAUCCUAUCCCAGUUUGCUUUCCUUGAGUGAUCUCAGGGGAAUGUUCUUUCUGCGCUGCUCCUACGGUCACCUCAUCUUCUUCGACAAUAAGGGGUUCUACAUUGUUAAUGCGUUCAGUGGCGCUAAGGUUGUGCCUCCUUGCCUCAAGUCAGACAACUUCAUUCACAUUAGCUAUGCCACCUUGACUGCCCCUGUUGCAUCCGCUGACUCGCAUCUCCUUGUCGGCAGCGGAGGCUAUCUGUUUCAGUGGCGCGUCGGGAGCGACUCUUGGUUGGAACACUAUCCUAAAGUUCCUUUUCUUACGAUUGAACAAAUUGUGGCCUUCAAAGGCAAAACAUACACCCUAGGGUCUUUUGGGUCCUUCUGCAUCGUACAAUUUUCGCCCUGUCUCUUAGUUCAGAAGUUUGAAAUUAUGUUUGAGGAAGAUAGAACUGAAGAUCGCUAUUGGACAAAUCAAAAAACAUGGCUUGUGGUGUGCGACGUGCUUCUCUUAAUCAAACUUGAGGCAGUAAAAAGGAUAAGCUCUGAGGCUUUCCAGUUCAAGGCCUUCAAGCUCAAGUCGUUGGACGCCAAGAACAAGAAAGCAAGGUGGGCGAAGGUGGACAGGUUGAAUAACUGGGCCAUCUUUGUCAGCGCCGACGGGCGAUGCGAGGCGUUGUCGUUCAUGAACCCGGAGAGAUGGGGAGGGAGGAGCAACCACAUAUACUUCCCAAGUUAUGAGUCUGAACGACCUUGGGCUGCAGUGCAACUAUGGCAAAAAGCUAACAACCAUUCGACAAGUUCGUGGCUCUCGAAAACUGGAAGCCAGUACCACAGAUUGGUGCCAACCUGGGUCCUCCCUAGCGCAUAUCCUCGCUCUGGUCAGCAAUGA